UUCAGAAAAGCAGUAUUUCCUAACAUCCAGCCUGAAUCUCCCCUGGUGCAACUUGAGGCCAUUCCCUCCAGUCCUAUCAGUUACUAAUCAUUUGAAAGAUACCACAUCAACUCCCAUGGUGUGGAUGAGCCGCUCAGCCAGAAGCACUUCCACCUAAGUCUCUCCAAAGAUUAGGAUAUCUACUUAUAUCAAAUGACGGAUUCUGAAGCUAUCUGCAAAUGUUAACCAUUUCUUCAGAGACAAAUCUAUUUGGUGAUAAUCUUAACCUGGAAAGUUAUAUUGCUGGAAAGGAAUCUGCUCAGCACACGUGUCUUCUUGCAACAGAUACCACAAAGUUUAAUUUGUAAUUAUGCCUACUGGGAGACUUGCUGUGUUAGAAAUCUUCAGUACAAAACUUAGACAGCAGCUGGCACUAAGGUAUUAGUUGUGUGAGAUCCCAUCACUACCAUACUCCUUUCAUAUUCAUCUAGAAUCAGGUACCGGACCGAUUUCUGCUCGGAGCUCACAAGAAUAGCAGUGGACUGAUACAUGUUUCAUCCGUCCUGGAAGAUUUUGGCAACAGGGCUUUAGUCUCAUGUUCUCUCCAUACAACUCCUAACACAAAUGUGAUUUGAAUUAACUGAGGUUGCCGACAUCGGAGAUUGUCCUGGGCUGCCACUGCAAGGCGUGACCAAAUGCAUGCAUCUCUCUCCCUUCUCAUUAAAGUCUGUCCCAUCCUUUUCUCUACCUCGCUCAUGUGCUGAAGCCACCUACCUGCCUGUCCUGCCUUAAAGUUAAACAGACGUGGCUGUUGGUAUUUACUAGGUAGAGAGGGAGUCGUCCAAUCCGUUUAGCAAUAUGUGCUUAACACCACAUUGCCACCUGUUUUUCUGCUUUAGUUUUCCAGUAUUUCUUUCCAAGAAGUGUUUGCGUCUCUUCUGAGGCUCAAAACUGACAUCCUGCAGCUGUGCAUUUCCUCCUACACUCCAAAUCACAGGCAGGGUGCACGCUCACACUGCUGCUGCCCCAUUGCUGAAAGCUGAUACCUACCGGCUCUUCAGCGGAGGGAAGCAUGAGCAGAGGACAUUUUGUCAUGCUGGAGAUGGGUGAGCAAGCUGGGGCAGCUGAAUGGGGUCUCUCAUGGAAAAGGGACAUUCCUCCCAUCCACUCUGAGUGACAGCACAUGCUCACUGCCCACUAGGGUGGCCUCUCAGCUGGCAGCCUUGCACCUGAUGCCCAGCUGGAGCUGCUCUUUGUCUCAGUCCUUUCCCAGCAGCUCCAAGCACAAAAUUCACGUCCUUGGACUGAGCAGUAGUGCUUGCAUUUCUCUGAAAAGCAGAAGGGAUGAUAACCUUCUAACCAACCUCAACAUUUGCUGGGUUUAUUCCGAUCCCAGGCUGAUGUGUUAUCACAGCCCCAUGUUAUCAUGCACGGACAAAACAUCACUGGAGACUUCUCCCACUAACUGUUGUUCCCCUUACCCAGGCUGCUGAGGCUUCUCUGAAGCACAGCCCUGUGUUGUUAUGCACAGAAAAACCAUCUCCGGUGACUUCUCCUCCCACUCAGUGCUGUUUCCAUCUAAGCCCCCAUUCAUUCUCCUCCAAGUCUCAACAGCAACUGAGUGGGAGCCACAAACAUGCUGCCACUGGCAGCUCUCAUGGCCACAACUGCUUGGUUUUAUGGAUUUGCUCAAGAAAUUCCAAUACAGAGACCUGUAUCCAUCACCAGGUUCCAGAAAAGUGCACGUAUGUUCUGUGAAAUGAAUAAAUUACCAGGAAGUUUUGAUAGCACCGUCAUACACUGGUAUCAACUGAAGGAGAAUAAAGCUCCGGAGAGGAUACUCUUCUACGUAGGAGGGAAAACUACAGUCGAAAGUGGUUUUCAAGAGAACAAGUACAUGGUUGGUAAAGUUUCUAGUCGGAAUCUGUGUAUGCUUACAAUAAAUGAUGUAAUUCCAGACGACGCUGCUACGUACUACUGUGCCUACUGGGACCCGCACCGUGAUAGGGGCUCAGAGAGCAUCACGCCACAAAUCUCCUUCAACCACUCCUUCAGUCUGAACCACAGAUGGAUUUACAUGGGAAAUUCCCAUACAGAGCCCCGUAUCCAUCACCAAGUCACAAGGAAGUAUACGUCUGCAAUGUCAUUUUGGAGACUUCUCUGGAAAUUUUGGUAACACUGUCAUACAUUGGUAUCAGCUGAAAGAGAAUAAAACUCUGGUGAGGAUGACCUACUUUACAUCAGGGGCAACAGUAGUAGAUGAGAGCUCC
This is a non-coding RNA of Numida meleagris (helmeted guineafowl), 2249 nucleotides long. NCBI's taxonomy places the organism in Eukaryota, Metazoa, Chordata, Aves, Galliformes, Numididae. The record is from the annotation of a RefSeq genome assembly.